RNAcentral lists this long non-coding RNA (1457 nucleotides) under Anser brachyrhynchus (Pink-footed goose). Its description in RNAcentral is "lncRNA (ENSABRG00000002444.1)". Lineage: Eukaryota; Metazoa; Chordata; Aves; Anseriformes; Anatidae. The record is from RNAcentral.
AUGUCUCUGCCUGUUGUGGCUCCUUGGGAAAGCUCAGCACUAUGAGCCUACUGCCUUCCAGAUGCAACGUCUACCAUCCCCACUCCUCCCGUCGAGCCAGCGCUGUCCCUGGUGGGAGUGUUUGCUACAUCAAAGCCCCGGAAUAUGGAAGGACAUGAAUUUCACAGCAGCCGAGGCUGACAGUGCUUCGCAGUUCUGCUUUUAGAAGUGUGGAGUGUGAGAAGAUAUCAGUAAAUGACAAAAAGAUCCUUUUAACAGGGGCAAAAGAGAAUCUUUUCCCUCAAACGUAUUCUUGGAAAGACUUGAGCCAUUUCAGCUGAAAUGAAAAAGUUUAGCCUGAGGCCAAACCCAGCUGAAGAAAUUUUCAGCCUAAACAAUUAAUUAUAGAUGAAGUUAUGAGCAACCAAAACCAGAGUUAUACAAUAGUCAACUGUAAUUAUAGUGGUGCUUUUAACUCUGCCUAUAACAGAGGCAUGUAUGUCAAUGUAAAUUCUUGGGUUGGUCUCAGGAAGAGCCUUGUGGAGCUGUUUACAAACCCGAUCUUUCUGAUCUGAUGGGAUGGGAGCGAGCAUUUUGCAUCAGAAAUAAUCUGCUUUUGAAAGAUGAAUUAACUGGUGACUUUCAAAGCUGUGUCUUGUCUGUACUCAGCAUUUACCUAGGGUCACUUUAGCCGUGAUAUUACGUUUCUGCUCUACGUGGGAGGAAGGGCGUAAUGAAGAGGGAGCCUCCUAUGACGGAGAACAGCUCAGUCAUGAGAAAGCUGGGUUGGCAGAGAUUAAUGGGGAAGCAUCCUGUCUGCGAUAUCACCAUCUGAGCAAGCCUUUCCCGGGAAACUGGUCGAAAUGUAUCUUGCCAAAAUACCACUUAAGUGACACCUGGAGGUUAGUUGGAACAGCGUACAGUUAUGUCAGAAAUGCCCUCCCUUCCUCCUGGCUUUCUCUGCAUGUACAGAGCUUAGCAUGUUUCAGUUCCCCACAGAUUCAAGUGAAGUUUAAAUCAACAUUGAUUCAAGGGAAUCAGUGCGAGGAGAUCCCAGAUCUGGAGUGGACGUUCUCCAACAGCAGCAGAGUGUCGGUGCCAGCACAGGAGUAUGCGCACAAGGAGCUCUCAGCCAGAGCAGGCCCAGAAUCUGUUUUGCUUUCUCACACUUGGAGCUGGUAUAUUUUAAAGGAUAUCAAGCGGCAAAUGUGGCAAAGGGGAAAAAUUGCUACAGACUGUAUCUGGCAGAAAACCAGCAAAGAUAAAAUACCAUACGUUCUGUGCAAUGAGCUCCUACAUAAAUGAUUCAUUCACUGGAAUACAGCUGGGGUCAAACACCUUCUAUUUGAAUAGCCAAAAGUUAUGCAAAUAUUUUAUGUGGAUUUUUCUCAAGAAAAGAAAGAGGGGGAAAAAAAGGACAAUAUAUCCUAUUCCCAUUUAAAAAUAAAAUAAAAGCUGUUUAUCUAUGUAACUUUUAA